GAGCUUGUAACUUAGUGGUAGAGUGUUCGCUUGAUAAGCGAAAAGUCAGUGGUUCGAUCCCACUCAAGCUCA
RNAcentral lists this transfer RNA (72 nucleotides) under Stachyamoeba lipophora. RNAcentral describes it as "tRNA-Ile". It matches the Rfam family "tRNA". From Rfam's summary of the family: Transfer RNA (tRNA) molecules are approximately 80 nucleotides in length. Their secondary structure includes four short double-helical elements and three loops (D, anti-codon, and T loops). The record is from RNAcentral. Lineage: Eukaryota; Heterolobosea; Gruberellidae.